Molecule: ribosomal RNA, 800 nt
Filed under: Salmonella enterica subsp. enterica serovar Dublin
Lineage: Bacteria; Pseudomonadati; Pseudomonadota; Gammaproteobacteria; Enterobacterales; Enterobacteriaceae
Description: partial 23S ribosomal RNA
Rfam family: Bacterial large subunit ribosomal RNA
Source: RNAcentral
CUGACUGACCGAUAGUGAACCAGUACCGUGAGGGAAAGGCGAAAAGAACCCCGGCGAGGGGAGUGAAAAAGAACCUGAAACCGUGUACGUACAAGCAGUGGGAGCACAGGUUUACCUGUGUGACUGCGUACCUUUUGUAUAAUGGGUCAGCGACUUAUAUUCUGUAGCAAGGUUAACCGAAUAGGGGAGCCGGAGGGAAACCGAGUCUUAAUUGGGCGUUAAGUUGCAGGGUAUAGACCCGAAACCCGGUGAUCUAGCCAUGGGCAGGUUGAAGGUUGGGUAACACUAACUGGAGGACCGAACCGACUAAUGUUGAAAAAUUAGCGGAUGACCUGUGGCUGGGGGUGAAAGGCCAAUCAAACCGGGAGAUAGCUGGUUCUCCCCGAAAGCUAUUUAGGUAGCGCCUCGUGAAUUCAUCUCCGGGGGUAGAGCACUGUUUCGGCUAGGGGGCCAUCCCGGCUUACCAACCCGAUGCAAACUGCGAAUACCGGAGAAUGUUAUCACGGGAGACACACGGCGGGUGCUAACGUCCGUCGUGAAGAGGGAAACAACCCAGACCGCCAGCUAAGGUCCCAAAGUCAUGGUUAAGUGGGAAACGAUGUGGGAAGGCCCAGACAGCCAGGAUGUUGGCUUAGAAGCAGCCAUCAUUUAAAGAAAGCGUAAUAGCUCACUGGUCGAGUCGGCCUGCGCGGAAGAUGUAACGGGGCUAAACCAUGCACCGAAGCUGCGGCAGCGAACGUAUCACUUAAAGCGAUUCAGCGGGUUACGAUUGACGGAGCGAAGCGACGUCAAAGCGUAUA